RNAcentral lists this ribosomal RNA (523 nucleotides) under uncultured bacterium. Its description in RNAcentral is "bacterial SSU rRNA". It matches the Rfam family "Bacterial small subunit ribosomal RNA", at positions 11 to 543 of the family's 1533-position model. The record is from RNAcentral.
GUUUGAUCCUGGCUCAGAGCGAACGUUUGCGGCGGGCUUAACACAUGCAAGUCGAACGAGAAUCCCUUCGGGGAGGAAAGUGGCGCACGGGUGCGUAACACGUGGAUGACCUACCCCUUGGUUCGGGACAACAGCGGGAAACUGCUGCUAAUACCGGAUGUGUCGUAGCAAUACGAGAAAGGCCCGCAAGGGUCGCCAGAGGACGGGUCCGCGUCCCAUCAGCUAGUUGGUGAGGUAAUGGCUCACCAAGGCGAAGACGGGUAGCUGGUCUGAGAGGAUGAUCAGCCACACUGGAACUGAGACACGGUCCAGACUCCUACGGGAGGCAGCAGUGGGGAAUAUUGCGCAAUGGGCGAAAGCCUGACGCAGCCACGCCGCGUGAGCGAUGAAGGUCUUCGGAUCGUAAAGCUCUGUGGGGGGAGAAGAAGAAAGUCGGUGAAGAGCCGACCCUGACGGUAUCCCCUUAGCAAGCACCGGCUAACUCCGUGCCAGCAGCCGCGGUAAUACGGAGGUGCAAACGUUG